CACCAGAGCACCGCCAGAAAGUAUUUCCAACCUGGAGAGCUCAAAAGGUGUAGAAGAAGAGGUGCCAAAUGGCUGAGAAGGCAGAGGCAUGAGCAGAUGAUGCCAUUGUUGGUGCCAGCUUGGCACGGUCACUAUCCAGAUCUGUCAGCCCUAAGUUGAACUUCCUAUGUUGGCGCAUGAUGUCCACACUACAAUAAACUCUCGAUACUGAUCAAAGUCUUUU
Prionailurus viverrinus (fishing cat) is the source of this 223-nucleotide long non-coding RNA. RefSeq lists it as uncharacterized. Lineage: Eukaryota; Metazoa; Chordata; Mammalia; Carnivora; Felidae. The transcript has 3 exons. The record is from RefSeq and is a predicted model, not a curated record.